UUUUCAAGGCAUAGCGCACUUUGCUUAUCGAAAGAAAGGGGAAAAUUCAUCUGGAAAAUGGCUGCCACCAGCCAGUUACCGAUUUAUCCCUUUCUUGCAUAGCUAGUUUUAACGUGAAUAGUAACAAUGACGUCGCUUCACCAUAGCACUCGCAUGAGUUUCUCUGUCUCGCUCGCAUCAAUAGUCUCUUUCGCCACCUUACGACUUCGGGUAUUAUCGGUGAACUACGAUGUUUAUUCGGCACAUCGGCUGACCAGUCACUGUUCACACUGAGAUCGUCUCUGCUCUCUUCGUUUACCUAUUACAUUGCUACUUUCGGAUAGUAGAUACACUGUUGCCACUAACUAGUCUUCUGAUUAAUGAGAAUAUAUAUAUAUAUAUAUAUAUAUAUAUGCAUAUAUGUAAAUCAAUUAUUCUGAACAACAAUAGAUUAUUAUUCUUAAAAUUUAUUAUCAUAUUUAAAAAAAAAUAAAUAAUUUUCUUUGAUAACUAAUAGACGAAAAAAAAAAAAAUUUUUUUUUAUAAAAUUUAUAUUGUGAGUAUAAUUUAAUUAGAUAUAUGUAAUAAAAUGCCUGUGCACGUGCUAACGUAUUAUUUGCAUAUGAGCAUGUACAUGUACAUACAUAUGUACAUAUAUUUAUAUAUCAUAUUAUAAAAUGAGAAUUGUUUAAUUAUGUUUUAUAUAUAUAUAUAAAAGUUUAUUCUUAUUUCAAAUUAUCAUUUAUAUUCUAAUCUUAUUAUCGGAUUGGAACAAAAUAAUAUUAUUUGAAUAAAUAUUUUGAUAUUAAGAAUUUUAUCGAUUGAUUAUUUGAAUUGUAUGAAUUUAAUUAUAUUUUAAUAUAAUAGAGUUUUGUUCAUGUUUAUUUCAUUAUUAUUAGAAAAGAAAUGAAAGAAAGUGAAAAGAAAACAAAUGAAAGAAAACAUUUUAAUUAAAAAUUUUAUGUUAGCAAUGAUCAUAAAAUGAUCAUAAUUUGAAAAAAUAUACGAAAAAAUUCAAUAAUGAAUAUUUAAUUUAAAAUUACUUGAAAUAUAAAUAUAUAAAACAUAUUGUCAUUUUGUGCAAAUUAAUAUUAAAAAUAUAAAACAAUUAAAUAUAUCAUAAUUCUAAUAGAUAUUAAAUUAUUGUUUAAUUUUUUAUUAAAUUUAGUGUAUUUAUUUUCAAAAAAUUUUUCAAAUUUUUAAAACUUUUAUUUUCUUAGAUAAUUAUUUAUACAUGUUUAUACCUAUUUAAAAUUGUUUUUAUUUAAAUUUUAUCAUGUAAUGAUAGUAUUUAUUAAAUAAAACUAAUUUCAAUUAUAUAUUAUAAAAUUGAGUUAUAUUAUUAAUAAUAUAAAAAAAUUAAUGUACUAAUAAUAUAGUUAUAUCAUCAAAUUGACUUUAUAUUAAUGAAUAUUUUAUGAAUAAAAUAUUUUUAAGUAAUGUGCAAAUGUGUUCUAUAAAUUUAUAAAAUAAAAUAAAAGAAAUUAUAUUAAGAAUUAUAUUAAGAAAAGUUGUAAUAAAUAGGUAAAUUUAAGAUAUAAGUCUGAUAGAUAUAAUUUAUAAUAAUUAUAAACAUUAAUUGUAUCGAUAUUAAUUUUAAUAUUCGUGAUCUGCCAUUUAUUAUUGUUUUAAUAUUUACAAUUUUUAAUUACAAUAUGUAUGCAUAAUUGUUUAUCGCAAGUUUAAAUAAUAUCUUGCAUUAUAUUUGAUUGGAAAUAUUUUGUAGCGGAAUAUUAUAAAUUUUAUAAAAUAAAAUAAAUUUGAUCACACAAUCAAA
Long non-coding RNA from Apis cerana (Asiatic honeybee), 1756 nucleotides. RefSeq lists it as uncharacterized. The record is from RefSeq and is a predicted model, not a curated record. Lineage: Eukaryota; Metazoa; Arthropoda; Insecta; Hymenoptera; Apidae.